This is an RNA transcript of Mugil cephalus (flathead mullet), 2455 nucleotides long. It is a transcript of the gene named Bardet-Biedl syndrome 10, with no coding region annotated. The record is from RefSeq and is a predicted model, not a curated record. NCBI's taxonomy places the organism in Eukaryota, Metazoa, Chordata, Actinopteri, Mugiliformes, Mugilidae. The transcript has 5 exons.
GAAGAAGACUCGUUUCUAGGCGACAGAGGACAUCGUUCCCGUCGGACUGGUGAUGAGUGUCGGCCUCCUGCGAUGUGAUAAUGGAGCAUCUCCACAUGAAACAUAUCCUGCAGACGGUAUCGGUCCUGGAGGCCGUGAUCCUUCGCAGCUUUGGCCCCGAAGGAGGACAGGUGCUGUUCACCCGAGACACGGGACAGGCGAUGUUGAGCCGCAGUGGGACACACAUUCUCACAGCCCUCCAGCUAGAGAAUCCAAUAGCCAGGAUGGUGGUGGAGUGUGUCUGGAAGCACAGCUCUGUCACGGGCGAUGGAUCCAAGACCUUUAUCCUCCUGCUUGCGUCAUUACUACGGAUGAUUCAUACAAUAGCCAACAAGGAGCCUAAUGUGUCUAGCUCUUAUAAUUCCACAGAAGCAGCAGCGAGUGCCGCUGCCAGACACUUGGCUGACAAACUGCUUGCAUUUGCGUUGAAAGACUUGGACGAUCUCAUUGCUGUGGAAGUGGUCCCUUAUGGAUGUUGCAUUUCGUGGGAGGACUUCACUGCAAAAAAACAAACACCAACUCACGCAAACAGUCAUAUUAAAAACCUGCUGGCACCUUUCUUUCAUACACGUCUUGGUUUCGCGCACUGCGACUUUAUCAGUGACCUCACGUGUCAACUGCUAAAUAACUGGAAAUUUAAAAAUGAGUCGCCUUCAUUCUGUCUUCAGUUUUUAGAUGACAAUUUCCCUGCACUGCAUACGACUGUAUCAGGCUUCCCCAUUAGCACUUCACGUUUGAUUGAGGGGCAGGUAAUUCAUCGGGACUUUGCUACGCCAUGCCUGCGGAUUGACCGCCAGCCAAUUAAAGCUGUGGUCUUCACGGGGUCCCUGCAUCCAAAAUUGUUUAAUACAGGAGAAGUGCUUGGAUUGAUGGACAAAAGAAGUAUAGUGGACUUUAGUGCCUGGUCGGUAAAGGCACUAGAGUGCAUUAUUGAAAAUCUGAAGACUUUGGGUGUGUCUGUACUUGUGUCUACAGUGAAACAGUCUCCUGCUGUCCUGUCCUUAGCCACACAGGCAGAGAUGUGCCUUGUGGAGUGUGUCAGUGAAGAGGAGAUUUCUCUCUUUGCCCAACUAAGUGGGUCCACGCCGGUCUCAGACUGCUUGACGAUUGAACCAAAGCAUGUUGCUACGCUGGCUUUUUGUCGACCUGUACUGCUGGGAGCCCACAGAUACGUCCACGUGGCUUUCCACGAUUCAGAAGACAGGACCACAUUCAAACCCUGUAGUCUUGUAAUCUGUGCCUCAGGUGAAGGGCAGACAGAACAGUAUGUACGAGCGUUUCGAGAUGCCAUUCACGUGCUACUUACAACUUGGGAGCCUAUACAUGUGACUGCAGCAUCAAAAACAACCUUGCAGUCGCACAAAUUCACAUCCUUAGAUAAGUACAACCAGACUGACCGCACCACAUACACACCGCCCAGUAUAUACCCCCCCCAUAAAUGUGUGUAUGAGCCAGGUUGUAUGAUACCUGUAGGUGGGGCAUUUGAGUUUCUCCUAAGCCGUGCCCUCCUCAGUGAUUCAGUUUCUGAUCAUACUGGUGUAGGUAUUCCUGUUUCCCAGCUCUUGGCCAAGGCUCUAUUGAGCGUGCCCCGACAGAUUUACUCCCACAGUCCGCGACAUUUCCUCCAGACUCAGACCAGGGUCAUGAGUUUUACUCAAAAUCAUUCCCGCCCGUUCAGUCUGGUAGAUAAACAAGAACCCAACACAAACCCUGUACAGAAUGAAGGUCCUCCAGGGGGUAGUAAACCAAACUUACAUUGUUGUAGGAAGGGUGACAUGUUAUCAAAAGCUUUCACGUCGGACUUGGGACUCGAAUCCGUCUCCUGUAAAUACCAACUGCUUCUGGCUGUUCUGCAGUGUGUGACCAGUCUCCUGCGGGUGGACGCCAUGCUGCGUACACACACUGUCUUACACUCAAAAUCAUGCAGACUCACAAACAUUUCCUGGAAGGACACAGAGGGCGAAGCUGAGGACUGAGAUUGUGUUUUCUGCUACGAUGAAAGACAGUCAAAUUUGCACCAGGUACCUUUCAAAAGUUGGAGUGAUUAAGUUGCACUGUAAUGCUAUUUUUUUUAUGGUGACUAUUUUUUGUUCAUACAGGUCAAUACAUUUAUAAUUCAAGUCUCUCCUACAGCGAGAGUCAAUGGCCUCCUGUAUCGUGCACAGCUUCACCAAACGCGCACAACAGUGGUGAGUGCAAGCCGGAUGACAAUAACCUCAGAGUCAACUCGGUCGGUUUUCAGUUUAUUUGGUUCUCAUAGUUAAUUUUUGAUUCUGUGAAACACGGUGCAUAUGUUAUAAAUCAACCUAAUCUCUGGAAAAUCAAGAGGGCAUUAUAAAAUACACCAACAAACUGCCUGAACCAUAUAUACACACUAAAAAUCUUACAAAUAAAAAACACAUAUACAAAAUGUGAC